UGUUAAAAAUUUCAUCCUUUUGUACUGUUAGAAACUGGAAUGGCUGACAGAAUAAUCAUAUAAUGACAUGUGGUAUUUCCGUGUACUCAUGCUGACAUAUAGUAACCAGUUUUUAACCGUAUACAUGGAUAGAAUUUUUAACA
Molecule: microRNA precursor, 143 nt
Filed under: Gossypium hirsutum (cotton)
Lineage: Eukaryota; Viridiplantae; Streptophyta; Magnoliopsida; Malvales; Malvaceae
Description: MIR7502 microRNA precursor family
Rfam family: MIR7502 microRNA precursor family
Source: Rfam by way of RNAcentral